GACGAACGCUGGCGGCGUGCUUAACACAUGCAAGUCGAACGGAAAGGCCCUGCUUUCGUGGGGUGCUCGAGUGGCGAACGGGUGAGUAACACGUGAGUAACCUGCCCUUGACUUUGGGAUAACUUCAGGAAACUGGGGCUAAUACCGGAUAGGAGCUCCUGCUGCAUGGUGGGGGUUGGAAAGUUUCGGCGGUUGGGGAUGGACUCGCGGCUUAUCAGCUUGUUGGUGGGGUAGUGGCUUACCAAGGGUUUGACGGGUAGCCGGCCUGAGAGGGUGACCGGCCACGUGGCCUCUGGGAUGCGGCCGAGGGGCAUAUGGGAGGAUGGGGGGGAGCAUGUUGCAGACAGGCCGGGUGCGUGAUGAAGGACCGCGGCUUGUGGAGUGCCGGUGUUGGGGUUGAAAACCGGUUGGGCAUUGGCCGGAGGGUGUGAGGGGGCACAGGGUAAAGACGCCGGGUAACAUCGCG
Molecule: ribosomal RNA, 466 nt
Filed under: uncultured bacterium
Lineage: Bacteria
Description: partial 16S ribosomal RNA
Rfam family: Bacterial small subunit ribosomal RNA
Source: RNAcentral